Molecule: signal recognition particle RNA, 97 nt
Filed under: Chloroflexales bacterium ZM16-3
Lineage: Bacteria; Bacillati; Chloroflexota; Chloroflexia; Chloroflexales
Description: Bacterial small signal recognition particle RNA
Rfam family: Bacterial small signal recognition particle RNA
About the family: The signal recognition particle (SRP) is a universally conserved ribonucleoprotein involved in the co-translational targeting of proteins to membranes. Archaeal SRP consists of a 7S RNA and homologues of the eukaryotic SRP19 and SRP54 proteins.
Source: Rfam by way of RNAcentral
UAGGCACCAAGGAACGGCAGAUACUUGCUGAACCCCGCCAGGAUCGAAAGAUAGCAACGGUAGGUGAGUUCCUCUGGGUGUUCUGAGGUGCCCCAAC